GUGAUCUGUCUGCUUAAUUGCGUUUCAUAUUAUUAUAUAAUAUACACACAUCACGUGUGUUAUAUUAUUACUUUGAAAGCAACGAACGUGACCGUAGCCUUUUAUUAUAUACGCUACACGUAUAUUAAUUAAAGGGACCGCUGUAUCUUUCUUUAAACCAGAGUAAGGUUACGGCAAUAACAGGUCCGUGAUGCCCUUCGAUGUUCCGGGCUGCACACGUGCUACAAUGAUUAUUUCAUUAAGUAUCUACUGUGCAAUAAUAUUAUUAUUAUUCAAAACCUACUCUGAGAAUGAGCGGGUAAUCAAUUAGAAGUAAUGAUUUCCAAAUUUAUACACUUAUGUACCGUAUAUAUUAUCCCAUUACACAUUAUGUGUUAUGCGUGUAUAAUAUUGUACGCUGUACGUAUAUUUAUUAAUUCAUGGUGGGGAUAGACUAUUGUUAAUUGUUGGUCUCGGUCUUAACUAGGAAUGCCUUGUACGGGUCAUUGGUUCAACAGACCACCCGGAAUACGUCCCUGCCCUUUGUACACACCGCCCGUCGCUCUUACCGAUGAACUUCGCUAUGAAUCUAUUGGACUGUACCAUUGUGGUAUGGAAAGAUAUAUGAAUAGUGUGGUUUAAAGGAAAGAGAAGUCGAACAAGGCA
This 645-nucleotide ribosomal RNA is filed under the name Elphidium macellum. Its description in RNAcentral is "SSU rRNA". It matches the Rfam family "Eukaryotic small subunit ribosomal RNA", at positions 1306 to 1801 of the family's 1831-position model. The record is from RNAcentral. Lineage: Eukaryota; Foraminifera; Rotaliida; Elphidiidae.